GGGCACCCGCCCACCGUCCCCGGCCCGGUCCCCGUCAGCUUUCCCGCAACGACAGCUCAUUGCUAAGGAGCCCGUGUCCAGGAGAGCUCGUCCGCGCACCUCCAGUGAAUUCUGAGUGUUUCCUGCAGAUGGAUGAAUAAUUGAGCAAGAAGGAGGACUAAAACAAUUUAAUGCUUUCCAGGAAAAGGUUUCUGUUCAACUUUCUAUUCAAAUGCCACAGCACUUGCUCCACCACUGCAGAAAUAACGUAAUCAAGAGUCAGUAUUUUAAUAAAGUUGUUAUUUAAUUUGGUCUGUAGUUGUGUUAAACAACAGACCAGUUUUUACUAUUACGGCCAGGAACCUGGAGUAGUAUUUUCUCACUGGAAACUGAGAAUUAGAAGCCACAAUCUCAUCUAGCAAAU
Molecule: long non-coding RNA, 403 nt
Organism: Cyanistes caeruleus (blue tit)
Lineage: Eukaryota; Metazoa; Chordata; Aves; Passeriformes; Paridae
Source: RefSeq, a predicted model, not a curated record